UACGAAGGGGGCUAGCGUUGCUCGGAAUCACUGGGCGUAAAGGGCGCGUAGGCGGAUAGUUCAGUUGGGGGUGAAAGCCCGGGGCUCAACCUCGGAACUGCCUUCAAUACUGGCUAUCUUGAGUACGGGAGAGGUGUGUGGAACUCCGAGUGUAGAGGUGAAAUUCGUAGAUAUUCGGAAGAACACCAGUGGCGAAGGCGACACACUGGCCCGUUACUGACGCUGAGGCGCGAAAGCGUGGGGAGCAAACAGG
RNAcentral lists this ribosomal RNA (253 nucleotides) under uncultured bacterium. RNAcentral's name for it is "partial 16S ribosomal RNA". It matches the Rfam family "Bacterial small subunit ribosomal RNA", at positions 524 to 776 of the family's 1533-position model. The record is from RNAcentral.